GGGUUGUGAGGUUAAGCGACUAAGCGUACACGGUGGAUGCCCUGGCAGUCAGAGGCGAUGAAGGACGUGCUAAUCUGCGAUAAGCGUCGGUAAGGUGAUAUGAACCGUUAUAACCGGCGAUUUCCGAAUGGGGAAACCCAGUGUGUUUCGACACACUAUCAUUAACUGAAUCCAUAGGUUAAUGAGGCGAACCGGGGGAACUGAAACAUCUAAGUACCCCGAGGAAAAGAAAUCAACCGAGAUUCCCCCAGUAGCGGCGAGCGAACGGGGAGCAGCCCAGAGCCUGAAUCAGUAUGUGUGUUAGUGGAAGCGUCUGGAAAGGCGCGCGAUACAGGGUGACAGCCCCGUACACAAAAAUGCACAUGCUGUGAGCUCGAUGAGUAGGGCGGGACACGUGGUAUCCUGUCUGAAUAUGGGGGGACCAUCCUCCAAGGCUAAAUACUCCUGACUGACCGAUAGUGAACCAGUACCGUGAGGGAAAGGCGAAAAGAACCCCGGCGAGGGGAGUGAAAAAGAACCUGAAACCGUGUACGUACAAGCAGUGGGAGCACGCUUAGGCGUGUGACUGCGUACCUUUUGUAUAAUGGGUCAGCGACUUAUAUUCUGUAGCAAGGUUAACCGAAUAGGGGAGCCGAAGGGAAACCGAGUCUUAACUGGGCGUUAAGUUGCAGGGUAUAGACCCGAAACCCGGUGAUCUAGCCAUGGGCAGGUUGAAGGUUGGGUAACACUAACUGGAGGACCGAACCGACUAAUGUUGAAAAAUUAGCGGAUGACUUGUGGCUGGGGGUGAAAGGCCAAUCAAACCGGGAGAUAGCUGGUUCUCCCCGAAAGCUAUUUAGGUAGCGCCUCGUGAAUUCAUCUCCGGGGGUAGAGCACUGUUUCGGCAAGGGGGUCAUCCCGACUUACCAACCCGAUGCAAACUGCGAAUACCGGAGAAUGUUAUCACGGGAGACACACGGCGGGUGCUAACGUCCGUCGUGAAGAGGGAAACAACCCAGACCGCCAGCUAAGGUCCCAAAGUCAUGGUUAAGUGGGAAACGAUGUGGGAAGGCCCAGACAGCCAGGAUGUUGGCUUAGAAGCAGCCAUCAUUUAAAGAAAGCGUAAUAGCUCACUGGUCGAGUCGGCCUGCGCGGAAGAUGUAACGGGGCUAAACCAUGCAC
RNAcentral lists this ribosomal RNA (1161 nucleotides) under Escherichia coli. RNAcentral describes it as "partial 23S ribosomal RNA". It matches the Rfam family "Bacterial large subunit ribosomal RNA", at positions 1 to 1194 of the family's 2925-position model. The record is from RNAcentral. Lineage: Bacteria; Pseudomonadati; Pseudomonadota; Gammaproteobacteria; Enterobacterales; Enterobacteriaceae. RNAcentral also lists the same sequence under 1 other name.